CAAAGAGAAGCAAAGCCGCGAGGUAGAGCAAAUCUCAAAAAAACAUCUCAGUUCAGACUGCAGGCUGCAACUCGCCUGCACGAAGUCGGAAUUGCUAGUAAUCGUAGGUCAGCACACUACGGUGAAUACGUUCCCGGGCCUUGUACACACCGCCCGUCAAACCAUGAGAGUUGGCAACACCCGAAGUCGGUAGUCUAACCGCAAGGAGGACGCCGCCGAAGGUGGGGUUGAUGAUUAGGGUUAAGUCGUAACAAGGUAUC
Molecule: ribosomal RNA, 260 nt
Filed under: uncultured bacterium
Lineage: Bacteria
Description: partial 16S ribosomal RNA
Rfam family: Bacterial small subunit ribosomal RNA
Source: RNAcentral